GAUGAACGCUGGCGGCGUGCCUAAUACAUGCAAGUCGAGCGAACAGACGAGGAGCUUGCUCCUCUGACGUUAGCGGCGGACGGGUGAGUAACACGUGGAUAACCUACCUAUAAGACUGGGAUAACUUCGGGGAACCGGAGCUAAUACCGGAUAAUAUAUUGAACCGCAUGGUUCAAUAGUGAAAGACGGUUUUGCUGUCACUUAUAGAUGGAUCCGCGCCGCAUUAGCUAGUUGGUAAGGUAACGGCUUACCAAGGCAACGAUGCGUAGCCGACCUGAGAGGGUGAUCGGCCACACUGGAACUGAGACACGGUCCAGACUCCUACGGGAGGCAGCAGUAGGGAAUCUUCCGCAAUGGGCGAAAGCCUGACGGAGCAACGCCGCGUGAGUGAUGAAGGUCUUCGGAUCGUAAAACUCUGUUAUUAGGGAAGAACAAAUGUGUAAGUAACUAUGCACGUCUUGACGGUACCUAAGCAGAAAGCCACGGCUAACUACGU
RNAcentral lists this ribosomal RNA (496 nucleotides) under uncultured bacterium. Its description in RNAcentral is "partial 16S ribosomal RNA". It matches the Rfam family "Bacterial small subunit ribosomal RNA", at positions 28 to 506 of the family's 1533-position model. The record is from RNAcentral.